Molecule: transfer RNA, 67 nt
Filed under: Eurytoma sp. ZJUH_2016013
Lineage: Eukaryota; Metazoa; Arthropoda; Insecta; Hymenoptera; Eurytomidae
Description: tRNA-Arg
Source: RNAcentral
AAAAUAUAGUUUAUGGAAAAACAUUCAAUUUCGACUUGAAAGAAAUUUGGAAGGAUAAUUAAUUUUA